GCAAAGCGAGCUGUUGGUGAAGCAAGGGGUUGGGCAUAUGAGGACCUCUACCAAUGGUUAGGCACGAAGGAAGGUGAAAGGGACAUCUAUAAGAUGGCUAAGAUCCGGGAGAGGAAGAUGAGGGAUAUUGGCCAAGUCAAAUGCAUCAAGGACGGAGCAGGCCAACUCUUGGUGAAGGACGAAGAGAUUAAGCAUAGAUGGCGGGAGUACUUCGACAAGCUGUUUAAUGGGGAGAAUGAGAGUUCUACCAUUGAACUGAAUGACUCCUUUGAUGAGACCAGCAUGCGUUUUGUGCGGCGCAUCCAGGAGUCUGAGGUGAAGGAGGCAUUAAAAAGGAUGAAAGGAGGCAAGGCGAUGGGCCCUGAUUGUAUCCCCAUUGAGGUGUGGAAAGGUCUCGGGGACAUAUCGAUAGUAUGGCUAACCAAGCUUUUCAACCUCAUUUUUCGGGCAAACAAGAUGCCAGAAGAAUGGAGACGGAGUAUAUUAGUACCAAUCUUCAAGAACAAGGGGGAUGUUCAGAGUUGUACUAAUUACCAUGGAAUUAAGUUGAUGAGCCAUACAAUGAAGCUAUGGGAGAGAGUCAUUGAGCACCGCUUAAGAAGAAUGACAAGCGUGACCAAAAAUCAGUUUGGUUUCAUGCCUGCGAGGUCGACCAUGGAAGCCAUUUUCUUGGUACGACAACUUAUGGAGAGAUAUAGGGAGCAUAAGAAGGACUUGCAUAUGGUGUUCAUUGACUUGGAGAAGGCCUAUGAUAAGAUACCGCGGAAUGUCAUGUGGUGGGCCUUGGAGAAACACAAAGUCCCAGCAAAGUACAUUACCCUCAUCAAGGACAUGUACAAUAAUGUUGUGACAAGUGUUUGA
This 861-nucleotide ribosomal RNA is filed under the name Triticum aestivum (bread wheat). RNAcentral describes it as "partial small subunit ribosomal RNA". Lineage: Eukaryota; Viridiplantae; Streptophyta; Magnoliopsida; Poales; Poaceae. The record is from RNAcentral.